RNAcentral lists this ribosomal RNA (497 nucleotides) under uncultured bacterium. RNAcentral's name for it is "partial 16S ribosomal RNA". It matches the Rfam family "Bacterial small subunit ribosomal RNA", at positions 28 to 507 of the family's 1533-position model. The record is from RNAcentral.
GAUGAACGCUGGCGGCGUGCCUAAUACAUGCAAGUCGAGCGAACAGACGAGGAGCUUGCUCCUCUGACGUUAGCGGCGGACGGGUGAGUAACACGUGGAUAACCUACCUAUAAGACUGGGAUAACUUCGGGAAACCGGAGCUAAUACCGGAUAACAUGUUGAACCGCAUGGUUCAACAGUGAAAGACGGUCUUGCUGUCACUUAUAGAUGGAUCCGCGCCGCAUUAGCUAGUUGGUAAGGUAACGGCUUACCAAGGCAACGAUGUGUAGCCGACCUGAGAGGGUGAUCGGCCACACUGGAACUGAGACACGGUCCAGACUCCUACGGGAGGCAGCAGUAGGGAAUCUUCCGCAAUGGGCGAAAGCCUGACGGAGCAACGCCGCGUGAGUGAUGAAGGUCUUCGGAUCGUAAAACUCUGUUAUUAGGGAAGAACAAAUGUGUAAGUAACUAUGCACGUCUUGACGGUACCUAAUCAGAAAGCCACGGCUAACUACGUG